CGUCGUCUCCCUUCUCCUCCCGGAAGCAAGGGUGAUGAUGAUAUAUCUGGUUUGCGUUGCCGCACUUGACGGCCGCAGUCCUUGUUGCUUGAUUCCCACCAACCCCAUCUCUCGUCUACGGACGGGUGCCUCCUCUUCCGUACUGAUGCUUGAUAACUACUUGAUAGUUGCCAACCUUGGCUCUUGAAAUACCCGGGGAGUGGGGCCUCCAGCAAAGCACAAACAACAUCCUUUUAUUGUUCUUUUUACUACAACCGCAGUCUGUUUGCUUUCCCGCGUAAAAAGUCCGCACCCUCUUUGGAUCUCGGUUGGCAAUGGGCAGUCAAGUUUUCGUUUCUGGCUCUCAUACGCUGCGAUCUUUCCCUUGAACGGGGCCAAGGAUAAAAAGUGAAAAGCCACCAUUUCGAGACUCCGGGGUGCAAAAAAAAAAAAAAAAAAGAAAAAAAAGAAAAGAAAAAAAAAAA
This 464-nucleotide small RNA is filed under the name Histoplasma ohiense. RNAcentral describes it as "hypothetical lncRNA". Lineage: Eukaryota; Fungi; Ascomycota; Eurotiomycetes; Onygenales; Ajellomycetaceae. The record is from RNAcentral.